UGGAGGGGAGAUGGUUGAAGGCUUUGAGGAGGAGUGGGGGCUCGGGUGGUGAUCUUAAAGAGUAGGCAAUAUAUAUAUAUAUAUAUGGUGUGAUGACUGAUCGAGUGGUUGGGUUUUGAUAAACUAUAUAAAUCCUUUGUCCGCCGACCGCCGCACUUUGUGACCGCCGACGUGCGUGCUGCUUUGGGUUCGCAAGGAUCGGAUUGCAGGCACCUGCCGGUGAACCCUUCGAGUGUGGGCCAAAUGAUGGUUGUGUCCCUUUCUUCUCUUGGUGUUUUUUUUUUUUUAAUUAGGGUAGGUUGGAGAGCAUGGUGUUGAGUUGGGCAAUGGUGAGGGUUCGGUUCAUCCAUCUUUGAGUAUACAUCAAACUCGCGACAGAUUAUUACAGCUCAAGAUAAAAAAAAAAAAAA
RNAcentral lists this long non-coding RNA (410 nucleotides) under Phoenix dactylifera (date palm). Its description in RNAcentral is "long non-coding RNA (PDAC_LNC003718)". Lineage: Eukaryota; Viridiplantae; Streptophyta; Magnoliopsida; Arecales; Arecaceae. The record is from RNAcentral.